Molecule: long non-coding RNA, 502 nt
Organism: Oncorhynchus masou masou (cherry salmon)
Lineage: Eukaryota; Metazoa; Chordata; Actinopteri; Salmoniformes; Salmonidae
Exons: 3
Source: RefSeq, a predicted model, not a curated record
GGUUCCGGUUGGAGCGAGCGGCCGCAUCUACACUUCGGUCCGCAGGAAAUGCUGCUAGCUAGCUAGCCAACAGCUAGCCAACCUCUACCGAAUUGAACUCCAACUACCCGGUCAACAUUCCGCGUCGUUCCACAGACCAUACAAACGCUCCACACCGCGUGGCCGCGGCCACCCUAAUCUGGUGGUCCCAGCGCGCACGACCCACGUGGAGUUCCUGGUCUCCGGUAGCCUCUGGAACUGCCGAUCUGCGGCCAACAAGGCAGAGUUCAUCUCAGCCUAUGCCUCCCUCCAGUCCCUCGACUUCCUGGCACUGACGGAAACAUGGAUCACCACAGAUAACACUGCUACUCCUACUGCUCUCUCUUCGUCCGCCCACGUGUUCUCGCACACCCCGAGAGCUUCUGGUCAGCGGGGUGGUGGCACCGGGAUCCUCAUCUCUCCCAAGUGGUCAUUCUCUCUCUCUCCCCUUACCCAUCUAUCUAUCGCCUCCUUUGAAUUCCAU